ACUAUAAUUAAUUUAAGAAUAUUUUAGUCAUAUUAGGACUUUAAUAUUAUCCUAUUUCAAGGGUCUUUGUAACCCUAUUUUUGAGAGUUGAUAGAAUAUCUCUUAUGUGAGCUUUGAUCAAGAGUUCUAGGGGGAGUUUUUUUAGAGAGCUUUGUAUUCGGGUUUUAGGUGUUACUUAUUUAGGUUUGUUUUCUCCUUGUAUUUUUUGUUGGUUUGCCAAUUAGUGAAGUUUUUUUUUUGCCCAUUAUUUUAUCCUCUUCGAAGGAAUUUU
This 271-nucleotide long non-coding RNA is filed under the name Gossypium barbadense (sea-island cotton). Its description in RNAcentral is "long non-coding RNA (GBAR_LNC021253)". The record is from RNAcentral. Lineage: Eukaryota; Viridiplantae; Streptophyta; Magnoliopsida; Malvales; Malvaceae.